GACGAACGCUGGCGGCGUGCUUAACACAUGCAAGUCGAACGGAAAGGCCCUGCUUUUGUGGGGUGCUCGAGUUGCGAACGGGUGAGUAACACGUGAGUAACCUGCCCUUGACUUUGGGAUAACUUCAUGAAACUUGGGCUAAUACCGGAUAGGAGCUCCUGCUGCAUGGUGGGGGUUGGAAAGUUUCGGCGGUUGGGGAUGGACUCGCGUCUUAUCAGCUUGUUGGUUGGGUAGUGGCUUACCAAGGCUUUGACGGGUAGCCGGCCUGAGAGGGUGACCGGCCACACUGGGACUGAGCUAAGGCACAGACUCCUACGGGAGGCAGCAGUGGGGAAUAUUGCACAAUGGGAGGAAGCAUGAUGCAGCAACGCAGCGUGCGGGAUGACGGCCUUCGGGUUGUAAACCGAUUUCGCCUGUGACGAAGCGUGAGUGACGGUAAUGGGUAAAGAAGCACCGGCUAACUACGUG
This 468-nucleotide ribosomal RNA is filed under the name uncultured bacterium. Its description in RNAcentral is "partial 16S ribosomal RNA". It matches the Rfam family "Bacterial small subunit ribosomal RNA", at positions 28 to 507 of the family's 1533-position model. The record is from RNAcentral.